UUAACUAAAAAGAGCCAUUGCCAGCGAAGCUUUCGUACUCUAGCUACCAAAAGCAAAACCACCUCUAGCGAGGAAAACCCGUAGGGAGAGAGAGAGAGAUUGAAACGCCUCUCCGUCGUCGUUUCUGCUUCUCUAAUCGGAUUUUCGAAUGAAAAUGGCGGAUCAUUACCUGCUAGGAUGGAUCUUGGCAUCUGUCAUGG
Molecule: unclassified non-coding RNA, 200 nt
Filed under: Hevea brasiliensis (rubber tree)
Lineage: Eukaryota; Viridiplantae; Streptophyta; Magnoliopsida; Malpighiales; Euphorbiaceae
Source: RNAcentral